RNAcentral lists this ribosomal RNA (1489 nucleotides) under metagenome. Its description in RNAcentral is "bacterial SSU rRNA". It matches the Rfam family "Bacterial small subunit ribosomal RNA". The record is from RNAcentral.
AGAGUUUGAUCCUGGCUCAGAUUGAACGCUGGCGGCGUGCCUUACACAUGCAAGUCGAACGGGUUUUGGGGCUUGCUCCAAAACUAGUGGCGAACGGGUGAGUAAUACAUCGGAACGUGCCUUUUAGUGGGGGAUAACGCAUCGAAAGAUGUGCUAAUACCGCAUAUUCUGUACGCAGGAAAGUCGGAACUCGCAAGAAUCUGACGCUAGAAGAGCGGCCGAUGUCGGAUUAGCUAGUUGGUGAGGUAAAGGCUCACCAAGGCUACGAUCCGUAGCAGGUCUGUGAGGAUGGUCUGCCACACUGGAACUGAGACACGGUCCAGACUCCUACGGGAGGCAGCAGUGGGGAAUUUUGGACAAUGGGCGAAAGCCUGAUCCAGCCACGCCGCGUGUCUGAUGAAGGCCUUAGGGUUGUAAAGGACUUUUAUCUGGAAGGAAAUAUGCUGUGCUAAUACCACAGUAGGCUGACAGUACCAGAUGAAUAAGCACCGGCUAACUACGUGCCAGCAGCCGCGGUAAUACGUAGGGUGCGAGCGUUAAUCGGAAUGACUGGGCGUAAAGCGUCCGCAGGUGGUUUAUUAAGCUAGAUGUGAAAGCCCCGGGCUUAACCUGGGAACUGCAUUUAGAACUAAUAGACUAGAGUGUAGCAGAGGGGGGUGGAAUUCCGCGUGUAGCAGUGGAAUGCGUAGAUAUGCGGAGGAACACCGAUGGCGAAGGCAGCCCCCUGGGUUAACACUGACACUCAUGGACGAAAGCGUGGGGAGCAAACAGGAUUAGAUACCCUGGUAGUCCACGCCCUAAACGAUGUCUACUAGUUGUUGGAGAGGGAGACCUCUUUGGUGACGUAGCUAACGCGUGAAGUAGACCGCCUGGGGAGUACGGUCGCAAGACUAAAACUCAAAGGAAUUGACGGGGGCCCGCACAAGCGGUGGAUUAUGUGGAUUAAUUCGAUGCAACGCGAAAAACCUUACCUACCCUUGACAUGUCAGGAAUCUGCUUGAAAGAGUGGAGUGCCCGAAAGGGAAUCUGAACACAGGUGCUGCAUGGCUGUCGUCAGCUCGUGUCGUGAGAUGUUGGGUUAAGUCCCGCAACGAGCGCAACCCUUACUAAUAGUUGCUACGAAAGAGCACUCUAUUGGGACUGCCGGUGAUAAACCGGAGGAAGGUGGGGAUGACGUCAAGUCCUCAUGGCCCUUAUGGGUAGGGCUUCACACGUAAUACAAUGGCCGGUACAGAGGGUCGCCAAACCGCGAGGUGGAGCUAAUCUCAUAAAGCCGGUCGUAGUCCGGAUUGCAGUCUGCAACUCGACUGCAUGAAGUCGGAAUCGCUAGUAAUCGCGGAUCAGCAUGUCGCGGUGAAUACGUUCCCGGGCCUUGUACACACCGCCCGUCACACCAUGGAAGUGGGGGAUACCAGAAGUGGGUAGUCGAACCGCAAGGAUGACGCUCACCACGGUAUGUUUCAUGACUGGGGUGAAGUCGAACAAGGUA